GACGAGGCACUACGGUGCUGAAGCAACAAAUGCCCUGCUUCCAGGAAAAGCCUCUAAGCAUCAGGUAACACGAAAUCGUACCCCAAACCGACACAGGUGGUCAGGUAGAGAAUACCAAGGCGCUUGAGAGAACUCGGGUGAAGGAACUAGGCAAAAUGGUGCCGUAACUUCGGGAGAAGGCACGCUGACACGUAGGUGAAGUGAUUUACUCAUGGAGCUGAAGUCAGUCGAAGAUACCAGCUGGCUGCAACUGUUUAUUAAAAACACAGCACUGUGCAAACACGAAAGUGGACGUAUACGGUGUGACGCCUGCCCGGUGCCGGAAGGUUAAUUGAUGGGGUCAGCGUAAGCGAAGCUCCUGAUCGAAGCCCCGGUAAACGGCGGCCGUAACUAUAACGGUCCUAAGGUAGCGAAAUUCCUUGUCGGGUAAGUUCCGACCUGCACGAAUGGCGUAAUGAUGGCCAGGCUGUCUCCACCCGAGACUCAGUGAAAUUGAACUCGCUGUGAAGAUGCAGUGUACCCGCGGCAAGACGGAAAGACCCCGUGAACCUUUACUAUAGCUUGACACUGAACAUUGAGCCUUGAUGUGUAGGAUAGGUGGGAGGCUUUGAAGUGUGGACGCCAGUCUGCAUGGAGCCGACCUUGAAAUACCACCCUUUAAUGUUUGAUGUUCUAACGUGGACCCGUAAUCCGGGUUGCGGACAGUGUCUGGUGGGUAGUUUGACUGGGGCGGUCUCCUCCUAAAGAGUAACGGAGGAGCACGAAGGUUGGCUAAUCCUGGUCGGACAUCAGGAGGUUAGUGCAAUGGCAUAAGCCAGCUUGACUGCGAGCGUGACGGCGCGAGCAGGUGCGAAAGCAGGUCAUAGUGAUCCGGUGGUUCUGAAUGGAAGGGCCAUCGCUCAACGGAUAAAAGGUACUCCGGGGAUAACAGGCUGAUACCGCCCAAGAGUUCAUAUCGACGGCGGUGUUUGGCACCUCGAUGUCGGCUCAUCACAUCCUGGGGCUGAAGUAGGUCCCAAGGGUAUGGCUGUUCGCCAUUUAAAGUGGUACGCGAGCUGGGUUUAGAACGUCGUGAGACAGUUCGGUCCCUAUCUGCCGUGGGCGCUGGAGAACUGAGGGGGGCUGCUCCUAGUACGAGAGGACCGGAGUGGACGCAUCACUGGUGUUCGGGUUGUCAUGCCAAUGGCACUGCCCGGUAGCUAAAUGCGGAAGAGAUAAGUGCUGAAAGCAUCUAAGCACGAAACUUGCCCCGAGAUGAGUUCUCCCUGAGACUU
Molecule: ribosomal RNA, 1274 nt
Filed under: Salmonella enterica
Lineage: Bacteria; Pseudomonadati; Pseudomonadota; Gammaproteobacteria; Enterobacterales; Enterobacteriaceae
Description: bacterial LSU rRNA
Rfam family: Bacterial large subunit ribosomal RNA
Source: RNAcentral